This 1523-nucleotide unclassified non-coding RNA is filed under the name Hevea brasiliensis (rubber tree). Lineage: Eukaryota; Viridiplantae; Streptophyta; Magnoliopsida; Malpighiales; Euphorbiaceae. The record is from RNAcentral.
CAAAAAGAGAGGCCAUAUGCUGGAACAAAGUCUGCCACUUCUACCAAGUCAUAGAGCAAAACAGCGUCUUUCGAUUCUCCAAACAAUAGAUAGAGUUGGUGCAGAGUCUGCUCCCUGAAGUUUAUAGGAUAGGAUGUUGCAAACCUUCCUUUAUGCUUAAAGAAUUUCAACCAUUGGCCUGGCUGGUAUACAUAAGAGUACAGUACAUUCCUUGAAAAAAACUGCAGAUAAUGAUGAUCUGCAAACCUGAAGCCUGUUUCCUGUUUUAGCUGUUGCCUGAAUCUUUUCUCCUCUUACUUGUCCUGCAGCCCUUGGGUCUUGAACUUUCAGCAGGUUCCGGGUCAAGCGGCUUUUUCUUUGAAGGACUGGCUGUGUUUGUGGGGACAGAAUUACGAGGAGGUUCCCUCUCUUCCUUGCAAUCUGUCUCUGAGGCAUCUUGACUUGAAAGUUUAUCAUACAAAAUAGCAGAGUCCAAGGCAUACACACGGAGGGCGAGGGCUGAGAGCGUUGAGUUUCUUGCUGCAGCUGAAGGUGAUGACCAAUACCACCAAUCAUUUUUCAAAUAUUCGGUUUUGAUUGCGUCCUCUAAAAUAAUUGUGGCUUGGACCAUCUCAUAAAUUGUAGCUGCAGAUUUUACAAAGGCACGCCAUACACGUCUUCUCUCUGGUUGUAACCUUGACACUCUCAAAGCUUCUUCAGGUAAAGCCGCAUCUAUGUCAAGCAGGUUGAUUUUAAGACACCGUAAAAUCACAGAAGCCCGACCUGCUACAGGAUGUAGCGAGGAUUCCGGAAUAACAAAGUACAUAUUAACCCCAAAUUCAAGGAUUUUAUCCUUGGUAGAAGAAAACUUGUCUCUUCCCCUCUUGGUUGCAGAUUUUAGUCUCCCAAACACUGGUCCAGCCCCAGCUAAACCAUUUCCAGUACAAUUUGGCUUGUCGGAGUUAUUAAUGCAAGAAAAUUUGACCCCAUUCCGAAGUUGGUGCUCUGAAGAUAACAGAUCUGUAGAAUUUCCUCCACAUACCUCAUCUUCCCUUUGGGAGAGCAGUCCAAGGGCAGAAUCACAUAGAUAUGGAGAUGUGCCUGGAACAAAUGACGGGGUACCAUUACACCCAAUGAGUCCUAUCUCGUUCACCAGCUCCUUGAGUGAACUCUGAGUGAUGAACUGUGCUUUGAUCUCCUCCAACUUAAAUGGACAUUCCUGUUUGGUUUGAUUUUCAGCAGAAGCUGGUGCAUUACCAUGCUUGUCCCUCCUACAGUCAAUAGUGCUCAAUGAAUUAUCCUGCAGAAUUUCAUUAUUCGCUUUCCUUUUACACUUCACAGGUUGUUCACUUGUUUCCCCAUCCCGCUGAAUGGAAGAAUCGAUCCUGCACUUUUCAUUUGCAUGCUUCUGACGUUCCUUAGCAUCGGAAAAUGUUUGGUGGCAUGACAGACAAUGAGGUCUAGACGGCCAUAAUGGUUCUAGACACUCGCACCUGUAUAAUUCACCAUCAAAAGAAACUCUAACUUUGACACCAAGAUUCGUG